UCUAGUAUAAGCAUAUAUACCGUGAAACUGCGAAUGGCUCAUUAUAUCAGUUAUAGUUUAUUUGAUAGUACCUUACUACUUGGAUAACCGUGGUAAUUCUAGAGCUAAUACAUGCUAAAAACCUCGACUUCGGAAGGGGUGUAUUUAUUAGAUAAAAAACCAAUGCCCUUCGGGGCUCCUUGGUGAUUCAUGAUAACUUAACGAAUCGCAUGGCCUUGUGCCGGCGAUGGUUCAUUCAAAUUUCUGCCCUAUCAACUUUCGAUGGUAGGAUAGUGGCCUACCAUGGUUUCAACGGGUAACGGGGAAUUAGGGUUCUAUUCCGGAGAGGGAGCCUGAGAAACGGCUACCACAUCCAAGGAAGGCAGCAGGCGCGCAAAUUACCCAAUCCCGACACGGGGAGGUAGUGACAAUAAAUACUGAUACAGGGCUCUUUUGGGUCUUGUAAUUGGAAUGAGUACAAUUUAAAUCCCUUAACGAGGAACAAUUGGAGGGCAAGUCUGGUGCCAGCAGCCGCGGUAAUUCCAGCUCCAAUAGCGUAUAUUAAAGUUGUUGCAGUUAAAAAGCUCGUAGUUGAACCUUGGGCCUGGCUGGCCGGUCCGCCUCACCGCGUGCACUGGUCCGGCCGGGCCUUUCCUUCUGGGGAGCCGCAUGCCCUUCACUGGGUGUGUCGGGGAACCAGGACUUUUACUUUGAAAAAAUUAGAGUGUUCAAAGCAGGCCUAUGCUCGAAUACAUUAGCAUGGAAUAAUAGAAUAGGACGUGUGGUUCUAUUUUGUUGGUUUCUAGGACCGCCGUAAUGAUUAAUAGGGAUAGUCGGGGGCAUCAGUAUUCCGUUGUCAGAGGUGAAAUUCUUGGAUUUACGGAAGACUAACUACUGCGAAAGCAUUUGCCAAGGAUGUUUUCAUUAAUCAGUGAACGAAAGUUAGGGGAUCGAAGACGAUCAGAUACCGUCGUAGUCUUAACCAUAAACUAUGCCGACUAGGGAUCGGGCGAUGUUAUCUUUUUGACUCGCUCGGCACCUUACGAGAAAUCAAAGUUUUUGGGUUCUGGGGGAG
RNAcentral lists this ribosomal RNA (1054 nucleotides) under Scolecoleotia eriocamporesi. RNAcentral describes it as "SSU rRNA". It matches the Rfam family "Eukaryotic small subunit ribosomal RNA", at positions 59 to 1123 of the family's 1831-position model. The record is from RNAcentral. Lineage: Eukaryota; Fungi; Ascomycota; Leotiomycetes; Leotiales.